Osmia lignaria (orchard mason bee) is the source of this 3637-nucleotide non-coding RNA. The record is from RefSeq and is a predicted model, not a curated record. NCBI's taxonomy places the organism in Eukaryota, Metazoa, Arthropoda, Insecta, Hymenoptera, Megachilidae.
UUGACUGAUACGCGAGAGUGUUGAUUGAACACUUACGUUAUUGCGGAGGACCAUCAGUGGAUGGUACCGCAAAUGAAACGUAAUCGAAUAAUGGAAAAAAAAAGAAGAGAAUAAUAGGGAAAUAUUAUUUUGAAUAGUGCGAGUAUUAUUUGAUCGAUUGAUGUUGAUUUAUUUUCUCAAGAGGAACAUCCCUGUUUUUAUUACUUCCUAAUUACUAGAAUACCGGUGCAUAAUAGCUAUAUUCCAGAAAUUAAAUAUAAUUGAAUAAUUAAGAAAGGCGUAAGAAAAUAUUAAGACCACCUCGUUCUUCACAAAUGAAUAACGAGCGCCUAACUCGAGGAAAACGAGUUCGAUCGAGACCUCUUCUGAAACUUGAUUCCAAACUGCUCCAAAUUCGGAAAAAGUGGAGUGUUAAAAACGUUUCCAAAGUCUUCUGAAAAUUGCCGGAACCUCUUCGCUCCGAGCAGCAAGAAGUUGACUCGUUAAGCAGUCCUCGUUCCAAAGCUCGUUUACCUCGAAGCGAUGUCAGCUCAUCGAAUACUCGUGAGGAUUCCGUUCUCUCGAAGAAUGUCGCGUAGGUGUGCCGUGAGAAAGCGACAAGAAGAGGAAGAAGCAGACGUCACCACGAUUGAAGGAGAAAUCGGCGAUAGGUGGCGAAGAGAGUGGGUGGCGGUAGACUUUAUCUAAACACGACAGGAGUGUCUGGUGAUGAAUCGUUGCCAGCUUCAGCCAACGUGUAUAGCUAGCUGGUCUCAGCAAAGACUCUGAUCCUCGUCGACGAUCACUCGAAUGCACUCCGAACAGCUAUCUCCGUUGUGAUAGCGAUAACAACUUGCCACCUAACCCGUGCACGGAGAUUCCACUGCGCCAUUUAGCUGUUCUCUAUGGCCUAUUUUGGUGCUGGACGAGCUACGAUGCGGCUAGUUUCCCGACCAACCUUCAUCCUGGAUUCUUUUACGAGCCACCGUUACGUCGACGAAUAAUAGAGGUUGCUUUAGGGACGAACGUCCCGAUGUUUGUUCCCAAUUUGCUCGCUUUCAUGGGCCACACGGUUGUAAACGACAUAAUUAUUGUUAUGGGAGAAGGUUGAUGCCGCUUGCGGUGCCGGAAACGUUUCUUUUUUUAUCGUUUGCUAAAGUUGCGAUGCAUUCAGGUCUGUGCGGUAUUUUAGUUAGAAGUGCACCUGGUAUUCUGUCGGGGAUGUCUUGUGUGAUUUUCUUACUUUUUGGAAAUUAUGUGGGACUGUUUGGAGGUUUUUACUGUAGGAACAAGGGUAGGCGAGGUGAAUUAUAAAUUCAUUUGAUUUUAGGUUUAAAAUAUUAUAUAGUAAUUGCAUGAAAAAGUAGACUUCUGCAUUUGUUAGUAGUUUUUAUAAUUUUAAAUUGAAAUAAGUACCCUUAAAAUCAAUUCAAGCUUUCUUAUGGAAAAUAGCACUGUAAGGAGAGCAGGAAUAUCAAAAUCUUAAUUUUAACGAUAUUAAUAUUAGAGGUAAUUUAGAAAUAAAAUAAUACAACUUUGAAUUAUUAAAUAUUAUAAAAAGGUAUAAUAAAUGAAUCUUAAAUAGUAAAUUAUGGAUAGAUAAGAUUAAACCGUUUAGAUGCAGGUCCCGCGUAAAGGGUUAAAUCGUGUAUUUUGUUUGAAAUGCUCAUCGUGCAUAUACAGGACAAAAGUUAUAUAUUUACCUUAUUAGAAGUUUCCGUUGAAAUUGAAAAACUUUUCGUUCUAACGGGGUAGACAGUGAAAAUAGCAUAGCUAUUCGCUAAGUUUAAAUUGGUUGCACCUUCAGCCGUAGAGAUCGUAUUAUCACGCGGCAAGUCGAUAGUCUCAAAUGAAACGUGCAAGAAGAUAAGACGGUGCUAGCAACAAUAAGCGCGCAAAUGAAGACGGAAAAGAAAGUUUAUUCUCGUGGAAAACAAUGGAUUUGAAGAAAAUUUCGUAGAGAGAGGGGCAAGCCAGCCAUCGUCGUCCAUUUAGCGUUCCUUGAAUCAGCUGGCGUUUCAAAGAGGGCGAAAUUAAAAUUCGUUUCCUCAAUCUGCUCUAAUUGCGUUAAGUUUCACGACUACCGUAAAUUCAUUUAUUUCCUUUUAAUUCUCGAACUUUCAUAAUUAAAGAGUGUACCCCACGGUGUACAAGCCCUCCCCUCUUUUUUUUUUUAUUCUGCUCGAAGGUGCAUAAAAGUAAUUGCAAUCAACGUUGGCGCAACUUCUUGCAUUUUUAUUUUUUUUCAUUUUUUGGGUAUCGUAAACAAUAAUGUGUAAUAUUUAUUAAAAUACAGAAUACUUAUUUUUAAAAAAUGGAUAAAUUUUUAAUUUUCUAACGAGCAUUAAUUAUUCCUUAGCAUUUGAUUUAAUGUUAGAAUAUCGGUGUAAUUGAGCAGAGGCCUGGGUAGCUCUGAACUUCCCAAAAUGUUGAUGGGUCAGUUAUAAAAUUCUAAAAUUCUAAAAUUCUAAAAUUUCAGAAUUAUAAAAUUAAAUAAUUUGAAAAUAAUAUUACCUUAAAAUUUCAGUUUUCCAAAAAUGUGGGUGGCCCUCCUCACCAUUUUACAAUUAUAAAAUUAUAAAAUUCUGUAAUUGCAGAAUUUGUAAAAUUGAAAAUUUCUAAAGUACCUGGCCCACCCUAGAAGAAAUCCUAUCAACUCCAAUGCGUUAGAAAUCUACUUUUUUUUUCAAUUUUCAAUUAUCUUUUCAUCGAUAGAUUGAUAAAAUUGAAUAACCGAUAGGAUAAUAGGUAACGUGAAAUCCUUUGUAAAACACGAAACUAAUGAUUCCGAUAACAAUGAUCGAUAAUAAUAUAUGAUACAAAGGCGUUUUCUCUUCCACGGCCUGUUAUCAGUCAAUUUGAUCAGCUCGGACAGAAUGAAGAAAAUACUUGGCUCGCCUUUGAUGGAGGGACUGAAAAUUGAAACUGUACCACUUAAUGACUUAUUCAUUCAGCUUACCUCGCUGACCUCUGUAUCUCUUUUCACGGACGAACAGGUACACAAAGCAAUGAAGGUACAUAGAAAUAAUGAGAGUCCACCGAAAGAAGAGAGUUAAUUAGUUACAGAACGAGGAGGUUUCAUUUUAACUUGAUAUUUCUCUCUUUGACCUGCUCUAUAUAAAUCUCGUAAUUAUUUAUAAGCUGCUCCAGUCGAUCGUGAACGGAAAUGGAACAAAAGCUAAAAUCCGUGCUUCUUCCGCUUAAACAGCGCGUUUGAUCGAUGCUGAAAAUGCGGUAAUGUCAAGUGAUGAACAAAAGGGAAAUGCUCCAGAGAAAUAAUCAGAGCCGCAAGUUCGGAAAAUGAACGAGCAAUUUGUUAAACGAGCAUAAUUUAUUGUGAUAUUAAUGAGAAAAUUGUCAUUCGUUGUGUUAGUGGUCAUAAAAACGUAUUUUGGAUCAAAAUUUCCAUAAAAGUAAUAAGAAGGUAUUAAAAAAAAUAUUUCUCACUUAUAUUUUUAUUGAAAUACUUCAUCGUCUAACCAAUAAGCGUUCGCAAGGUAGAAAUGAAGCGAAACACAGUACUAUCAAAGCUGGAAAUCUCAAGUUUGCAAGGCAAACAUAAUUAAAACUGCAAACGUAGAAACUGAAAUCGACCGACUUAAAAUUGCAUCAAAAGUUAACCAGGAACCUUCUUCCUCGUAUAUUCUCGUUAAAAAAA